RNAcentral lists this ribosomal RNA (253 nucleotides) under uncultured bacterium. Its description in RNAcentral is "partial 16S ribosomal RNA". It matches the Rfam family "Bacterial small subunit ribosomal RNA", at positions 524 to 776 of the family's 1533-position model. The record is from RNAcentral.
UACGGGGGGUGCGAGCGUUGUCCGGAAUCACUGGGCGUAAAGGGCGCGUAGGUGGCGUGAUAAGGGUGUGGUGAAAGCCCCGGGCUCAACCUGGGAAUGGCCGUUGAAACUGGCGAACUGGAGUGUGGCAGAGGAGACUGGAAUUCCCGGUGUAGCGGUGAAAUGUGUAGAGAUCGGGAGGAACACCGGUGGCGAAGGCGGGUCUCUGGGCAAUUCCUGACGCUGAGGCGCGAAAGCGUGGGGAGCAAACAGG